GCAAGUCGAGCGAGAAAGCACUUCGGUGCGAGUACAGCGGCGGACGGGUGAGUAACGCGUAGGAAUCUACCCAGUAGUGGGGGAUAGCCCGGGGAAACUCGGAUUAAUACCGCAUACGCCCUACGGGGGAAAGGCCGGGAUCUUCGGACCGGUCGCUAUUGGAUGAGCCUGCGUUGGAUUAGCUAGUUGGUAGGGUAAAGGCCUACCAAGGCGACGAUCCAUAGCUGGUCUGAGAGGAUGAUC
Molecule: ribosomal RNA, 243 nt
Filed under: uncultured bacterium
Lineage: Bacteria
Description: partial 16S ribosomal RNA
Rfam family: Bacterial small subunit ribosomal RNA
Source: RNAcentral